CAGGGAUUGCCUUAGUAACGGCGAGUGAAGCGGCAACAGCUCAAAUUUGAAAUCUGGUCCUUCCAGGACUCGAGUUGUAAUUUGUAGAGGAUGUUUCGGCGUUGGUCCCGGCUUAAGUUCCUUGGAAUAGGACGUCAUAGAGGGUGAGAAUCCCGUAUGUGGCCGGCCAUGUGAAGCUCCUUCGACGAGUCGAGUUGUUUGGGAAUGCAGCUCUAAAUGGGAGGUAAAUUUCUUCUAAAGCUAAAUACUGGCCAGAGACCGAUAGCGCACAAGUAGAGUGAUCGAAAGAUGAAAAGCACUUUGGAAAGAGAGUCAAAAAGUACGUGAAAUUGUUGAAAGGGAAGCGCUUGCAACCAGACUUGCCCGUGGUUGCUCAUUCAGGCUCCUGCCUGGUGCACUCUUCCGCGGUCAGGCCAGCAUCGGUUCGGGCGGUCGGAUAAAGGCGGUAGGAAUGUGGCUCCUCGGGGAGUGUUAUAGCCUGCCGUGUAAUGCGGCCAGCCUGGACUGAGGUCUGCGCUCCGGUUAGGAUGCUGGCAUAAUGGUUGUAAGCGGCCCGUCUUGAAACACGGACCAAGGAGUCUAACAUCUGUGCGAGUGUUUGGGUGUCAAGCCCGGACGCAUAAUAAAAGUGAACGGAGGCGGGAACCUUCGUGCACCGUCGACCGAUCCUGAUGUCUUCGGAUGGAUUUGAGUAAGAGCAUAGCUGUUGGGACCCGAAAGAUGGUGAACUAUGCCUGGAUAGGGUGAAGCCAGAGGAAACUCUGGUGGAGGCUCGCAGCGGUUCUGACGUGCAAAUCGAUCGUCAAAUUUGGGCAUAGGCGAAAACUAAUCGAACUAUCUAGUAGCUGGUUCCUGCCGAAGUUUCCCUCAGGAUAGCAGUAACGUUUUCAGUUUUAUGAGGUAAAGCGAAUGAUUAGAGGCCUGGGGGUUGAAACAACCUUCACCUAUUCUCAAACUUUAAAUAUGUAAGAAGUCCUUGUUACUUAGUUGAACGUGGACAUUUGAAUGUACCGUUACUAGUGGGCCAUUUUUGGUAAGCAGAACUGGCGAUGCGGGAUGAACCGAACGCGGGGUUAAGGUGCCGGAAUGCACGCUCAUCAGACACCACAAAAGGUGUUAGUUCAUCUAGACAGCAGGACGGUGGCCAUGGAAGUCGGAAUCCGCUAAGGAGUGUGUAACAACUCACCUGCCGAAUGAACUAGCCCUGAAAAUGGAUGGCGCUCAAGCGUGCUACCCAUACCCCGCCGCCGGGGCAAGAGUUACGCCCCGGCGAGUAGGCAGGCGUGGAGGCUUGUG
This 1296-nucleotide ribosomal RNA is filed under the name Ostreichnion sassafras. RNAcentral's name for it is "eukaryotic LSU rRNA". It matches the Rfam family "Eukaryotic large subunit ribosomal RNA", at positions 69 to 1402 of the family's 3401-position model. Lineage: Eukaryota; Fungi; Ascomycota; Dothideomycetes; Hysteriales; Hysteriaceae. The record is from RNAcentral.